GAUCCUGGCUUAGAUUGAACGCUGGCGGCGUGCUUAACACAUGCAAGUCGCGCGUGAAAGGACUUCGGUCUGAGUAAAGCGGCGCACGGGUGAGUAACGCGUGGAUGAUCUACCCAUGAGUUAGGAAUAACGGCUGGAAACGGUCGCUAAUACCAAAUACGCUCCGAUUUCAACUUCGGGGGGAAGGUGGCCUCUGCUUGCAAGCUACUGCUCAUGGAUGAGUCCGCGUCCCAUUAGCUAGUUGGUGGGGUAACGGCCCACCAAGGCGACGAUGGGUAGCCGGUCUGAGAGGAUGACCGGCCACACUGGGACUGGAACACGGCCCAGACUCCUACGGGAGGCAGCAGUGGGGAAUAUUGCGCAAUGGGCGAAAGCCUGACGCAGCGACGCCGCGUGAGGGAAUGAAGGUCCUCGGAUCGUAAACCUCUGUCAGGAGGGAAGAACCGCCACGGUGCUAAUCAGCCGUGGUCUGACGGUACCUCCAAAGGAAGCACCGGCUAACUCCGUGCCAGCCGCCGC
This 519-nucleotide ribosomal RNA is filed under the name uncultured bacterium. RNAcentral's name for it is "bacterial SSU rRNA". It matches the Rfam family "Bacterial small subunit ribosomal RNA", at positions 15 to 518 of the family's 1533-position model. The record is from RNAcentral.